CGCCGCCUCCCAGCGGGUGGCGCUGGCGAGUCGCCGACGGAGAGCGGCGGGGGCUGCGCGGGAGCGGAGCGGGAACGGGAACGCACCGGGAACGCACCGGGAACGGGAACGCACCGGGAACGGGAACGCACCGGGAACGGGAACGCACCGGGAACGCACCGGGAACGGAGCCGGAGCGGAGCCGGGAGAGGGAACGGAGCGGGAGUGGGAGCGGGAGCCGGGUCUGGCGCGGCAGCCCCGUCGUGGGUGGCGGGAGGCUGCGGAGAAGUGCCUGGAUCCGAGGCGAGAUCCUCAGCUGGGAUAAAUCAGCUCCUCUUCCCUGUGGCCGAGGGAGGUGGGAAGAUGCCCAGCGGUUCCGGAUACAACUUGCCUCGUUUAGAGACUGGACCACUUCUUUUCCCUGGACUCUGAAACACAAGCUCCUAAGACCUUGUUUUGGAGAAGCAGACCUUGCAAUCAGACUCAACCAGCUUCCUACAGGCUGCCAGUUCAGUUAUUUCACCAGCUACUUUGGUGGGAAUGAGGGUCAUUUCUCCCGUCAUUGAUUGGGGCUGCUGGGACAUGGCUACCUUUCUAGACAAAGGAGGGCUGUAGCCAUGAUGGAAAAUUUUUUGGGG
RNAcentral lists this long non-coding RNA (617 nucleotides) under Chloebia gouldiae (Gouldian finch). Its description in RNAcentral is "Erythrura gouldiae (Gouldian finch) lncRNA (ENSEGOG00005001873.1)". Lineage: Eukaryota; Metazoa; Chordata; Aves; Passeriformes; Passeridae. The record is from RNAcentral.